GCCCAGAUCGUUUACCGUGAAAAAAUUAGAGUGUUCAAAGCAGGCAGAUCCAAUUUUCUGCCACCGAAUACAUUAGCAUGGGAUAAUGGAAUAGGACCCUGUCCUCCUAUUUUCAGUUGGUUUUGGCAGCGCGAGGACUAGGGUAAUGAUUAAUAGGGAUAGUUGGGGGCAUUAAUAUUUAAUUGUCAGAGGUGAAAUUCUUGGAUUUAUGAAAGAUUAACUUCUGCGAAAGCAUCUGCCAAGGAUGUUUUCAUUAAUCAAGAACGAAAGUUAGGGGAUCGAAGACGAUCAGAUACCGUCGUAGUCUUAACCAUAAACGAUGCCGACCAGCGAUUAGGAGACGUUGAAUACAAAACACCACCAUCGGCGCGGUCGUCCUUGGCGUCGGUCUUGCGUGGCCGACGUCGGUAC
RNAcentral lists this ribosomal RNA (411 nucleotides) under Acanthamoeba genotype T4. RNAcentral's name for it is "SSU rRNA". It matches the Rfam family "Eukaryotic small subunit ribosomal RNA", at positions 741 to 1077 of the family's 1831-position model. The record is from RNAcentral. Lineage: Eukaryota; Discosea; Longamoebia; Acanthamoebidae.